UGGGGAAUAUUGCACAAUGGGGGAAACCCUGAUGCAGCGACGCCGCGUGAGCGAAGAAGGCUUUCUAGUCGUAAAGCUCUGUCCUAUGAGAAGAUAAUGACGGUAUCAUAGGAGGAAGCCCUGGCUAAAUACGUGCCAGCAGCCGCGGUAAUACGUAUGGGGCGAGCGUUGUCCGGAAUUAUUGGGCGUAAAGGGUACGUAGGUGGUUUUUUAAGUCAGGUGUCAAAGCGUGGAGCUUAACUCCAUUAAGCACUUGAAACUGAAAGACUUGAGUGAAGGAGAGGAAAGUGGAAUUCCUAUUGUAGCGGUGAAAUGCGUAGAUAUUAGGAGGAAUACCGGUGGCGAAGGCGACUUUCUGGACUUUUACUGACGCUCAGGUACGAAAGCGUGGGGAGCAAACAGG
This 403-nucleotide ribosomal RNA is filed under the name Verrucomicrobiota bacterium. Its description in RNAcentral is "Verrucomicrobia bacterium partial 16S ribosomal RNA". It matches the Rfam family "Bacterial small subunit ribosomal RNA", at positions 355 to 776 of the family's 1533-position model. The record is from RNAcentral. Lineage: Bacteria; Pseudomonadati; Verrucomicrobiota.